AGAGUUUGAUGGUGGCUCAGGAUGAACGCUGGCGGCGUGCUUAACACAUGCAAGUCGAACGAAGCACUUGAAUGGAAUUCUUCGGAAGGAAGCUCAAGUGACUGGGUGGCGGACGGGUGAGUAACGCGUGGGUAACCUGCCUCAUACAGGGGGAUAACAGUUAGAAAUGACUGCUAAUACCGCAUAAGCACACGUGAUCGCAUGAUCGAGUGUGAAAAACUCCGGUGGUAUGAGAUGGACCCGCGUCUGAUUAGCUAGUUGGUGGGGUAAUGGCCCACCAAGGCGACGAUCAGUAGCCGGCCUGAGAGGGUGAACGGCCACAUUGGGACUGAGACACGGCCCAAACUCCUACGGGAGGCAGCAGUGGGGAAUAUUGCACAAUGGGGGAAACCCUGAUGCAGCGACGCCGCGUGAAGGAUGAAGUAUUUCGGUAUGUAAACUUCUAUCAGCAGGGAAGAAAAUGACGGUACCUGACUAAGAAGCCCCGGCUAACUACGUGCCAGCAGCCGCGGUAAUACGUAGGGGGCAGGCGUUAUCCGGAUUUACUGGGUGUAAAGGGAGCGUAGACGGCAGUGCAAGUCUGAAGUGAAAGCCCGGGGCUCAACCCCGGGACUGCUUUGGAAACUGUGCAGCUAGAGUGUCGGAGAGGCAAGCGGAAUUCCUAGUGUAGCGGUGAAAUGCGUAGAUAUUAGGAGGAACACCAGUGGCGAAGGCGGCUUGCUGGACGAUGACUGACGUUGAGGCUCGAAAGCGUGGGGAGCAAACAGGAUUAGAUACCCUGGUAGUCCACGCCGUAAACGAUGACUACUAGGUGUCGGGGAGCAAAGCUCUUCGGUGCCGCAGCCAACGCAAUAAGUAGUCCACCUGGGGAGUACGUUCGCAA
Molecule: ribosomal RNA, 883 nt
Filed under: uncultured bacterium
Lineage: Bacteria
Description: bacterial SSU rRNA
Rfam family: Bacterial small subunit ribosomal RNA
Source: RNAcentral